This 239-nucleotide ribosomal RNA is filed under the name uncultured bacterium. Its description in RNAcentral is "partial 16S ribosomal RNA". It matches the Rfam family "Bacterial small subunit ribosomal RNA", at positions 15 to 235 of the family's 1533-position model. The record is from RNAcentral.
GAUCAUGGCUCAGGAUGAACGCUGGCGGCGUGCUUAACACAUGCAAGUCGAACGAAGAUACUUAAAAUGAGAGCUUCGGCAGGAUUUUUAUUUAUCUUAGUGGCGGACGGGUGAGUAACGCGUGGGUAACCUGCCUCAUACAGGGGGAUAACGAUUGGAAACGAUUGCUAAUACCGCAUAAGCGCACAGUACCACAUGGUGCAGUGUGAAAAACUCCGGUGGUAUGAGAUGGACCCGCG